GAUGAACGCUGGCGGCGUGCCUAAUACAUGCAAGUCGAGCGAACAGACGAGAGUGCUUGCACUCUCUGACGUUAGCGGCGGACGGGUGAGUAACACGUGGGUAACCUACCUAUAAGACUGGGAUAACUUCGGGAAACCGGAGCUAAUACCGGAUAAUAUUUAGCUUCGCAUGAAGCAAUAGUGAAAGACGGUUCUGCUGUCACUUAUAGAUGGACCCGCGGUGUAUUAGCUAGUUGGUGAGGUAACGGCUCACCAAGGCAACGAUACAUAGCCGACCUGAGAGGGUGAUCGGCCACACUGGGACUGAGACACGGCCCAGACUCCUACGGGAGGCAGCAGUAGGGAAUCUUCCGCAAUGGACGAAAGUCUGACGGAGCAAUGCCGCGUGAGUGAAGAAGGUUUUCGGAUCGUAAAACUCUGUUGUAAGGGUAGAACAAGUACGUUAGUAACUGAACGUACCUUGACGGUACCUUACCAGAAAGCCACGGCUAACUACGUG
RNAcentral lists this ribosomal RNA (499 nucleotides) under uncultured bacterium. Its description in RNAcentral is "partial 16S ribosomal RNA". It matches the Rfam family "Bacterial small subunit ribosomal RNA", at positions 28 to 507 of the family's 1533-position model. The record is from RNAcentral.